AGCAGUAGCCGCGGUAAUACGUAGGUGGCAAGCGUUGUCCGGAAUUAUUGGGCGUAAAGGGCUCGCAGGCGGUUUCUUAAGUCUGAUGUGAAAGCCCCCGGCUCAACCGGGGAGGGUCAUUGGAAACUGGGAAACUUGAGUGCAGAAGAGGAGAGUGGAAUUCCACGUGUAGCGGUGAAAUGCGUAGAGAUGUGGAGGAACACCAGUGGCGAAGGCGACUCUCUAGUCUGUAACUGACGCUGAGGAGCGAAAGCGUGGGGAGCGAACAGGAUUAGAUACCCGUGUAGUCCCUGUCUCUUAUAC
RNAcentral lists this ribosomal RNA (303 nucleotides) under uncultured bacterium. RNAcentral's name for it is "partial 16S ribosomal RNA". It matches the Rfam family "Bacterial small subunit ribosomal RNA", at positions 507 to 807 of the family's 1533-position model. The record is from RNAcentral.